CCAGCUUGGUGUUAGUGAACUGUUAUCAAUAGUUAUUAAAUUUUGUCCUUACUAAUAUAUUCUUCUAUCAUUACCAACUUUUUUUUUUAUUUGUCCCUAAGUUGGGGGCAAAAGAAGUAUUUUGAUUUUUGGUCUUUUUAAAUAUACUCUUCUUCCAUCACCAACUUUUUUUAUUUAUCCUUAUGUUAAGGACAAAAGAGAUAUUUUGAUUUUUUUUUUAUAACUCUAGUAGACACUUAACUCACGUUUAAUUCGAGAUAACUUAGGCUUCGUUUGGGAUUGUAGGGAGAUUGCGUUACGUACGGUGAGAAACGACGAUGGAAAAAUACCUUGUUUGUUUCCAUACGCAAUAUUGCGUUCCGAUAUUGCGGUUAGUCGGCCCAUCGGAGAACGCAGAAGCAUAUCGCUAUAUGUUUUUUCUCAACUCCAUUCUGUCUAAUAGCGUUAAGCUUUAAUGAGUGGUAACUACGGAAUAUUUUUGAAUAACGGAGAAACAUAUGAUGGGUAUAUUGGAAAUAAAAGAAAUAAGGAUAAAUUAGAUAUUUUCAAAAUUUUGAGGGGUAUAUAGGCAAUUAUCCCUUAUUUUUUAUACUUAUAUCUAAACCAUAUCCGAUCAACAUGAAGUAAACCCACUGCACUCGGAUUCAGAUUUUCAUAAAAUUUCGGAUAUUCUUAUCCAUUGAUAUCUCAAGUUAUGAAGGGUUAAAUGUAUACAGGUAUCUGUAAAUAUAGUGAAUUACAAAUAUAUUCUUAUAAAGUUCAACUUUCAUAUGUUGUCCCUACAAAAUUUUAAUAUUUCCAAAUAUAUUCCUUUGAUUUUUUACCGUUAGAAAACUGUCAAUUUAAUAAGAGAAAUGUCAAUUUUGCCAUCACAAAUAUAUCUCUCCAAAAACCACACAACACGAUAAUAUAAGAGGGUAAAAUGUCAAGUUAUCUCAGAAACUAAUCAGGAUUAAAUAUUUAACCUAUAGUUAACUAAAAUUUUCUAACAGAUUCUAACGGCAGAGAUAUAUUUGAAAAUGUUAGAACUUUUACAGAAACAACAUAUGGAAGAUAAAUUUUAUAGAAAUACAUUUAUAAUUUACUAUGUUUGCAGGGAUCUGAAUGCAAUUAACCAAAUUAUGAAAGGAUAGAACAGCAGCAGGGAGGUGGGUGAUUAGCCCCUAACUCUCACCCGGUUCACGUGCGGUGAGCGUACCUCCGUAAAGGGCAACGACAUCUUGCCCUCGUGGCACACGUGGCUCCAUUCCGAUGCCUCCGCAGCUUCGCGGGUAGAUCUCCGGUGUAACGGUUAUAAAUCACGGCCCCGACAUUACGGGACGACAGAUCUCAGCCGUCCGUUCCGGGGCCAAACGUAGUCAACGCUGGAGUUUUUGGGAUGACCGAUCGGACGGUCGUUAGAUCCAAAAGAAAGGAUCCAAC
RNAcentral lists this long non-coding RNA (1422 nucleotides) under Ananas comosus (pineapple). Its description in RNAcentral is "long non-coding RNA (ACOM_LNC026567)". Lineage: Eukaryota; Viridiplantae; Streptophyta; Magnoliopsida; Poales; Bromeliaceae. The record is from RNAcentral.